UACGUAGGCAGCGAGCGUUGUUCGGAGUUACUGGGCGUAAAGAGUGCGUAGGCGGUUUUCUAAGUUUGGUGUGAAAUCUCCCGGCUUAACUGGGAGGGUGCGCCGAAGACUGGAAGGCUUGAGUAUGGGAGAGGUAAGCGGAAUUCCUGGUGUAGAGGUGAAAUUCGUAGAUAUUCGGAAGAACACCAGUGGCGAAGGCGACUUACUGGACACAUAUUGACGCUGAGGUGCGAAAGCGUGGGGAGCAAACAGG
Molecule: ribosomal RNA, 253 nt
Filed under: uncultured bacterium
Lineage: Bacteria
Description: partial 16S ribosomal RNA
Rfam family: Bacterial small subunit ribosomal RNA
Source: RNAcentral